GAUGAACGCUGGCGGCGUGCCUAAUACAUGCAAGUCGAGCGAACAGACGAGGAGCUUGCUCCUCUGACGUUAGCGGCGGACGGGUGAGUAACACGUGGAUAACCUACCUAUAAGACUGGGAUAACUUCGGGAAACCGGAGCUAAUACCGGAUAAUAUAUUGAACCGCAUGGUUCAAUAGUGAAAGACGGUUUUGCUGUCACUUAUAGAUGGAUCCGCGCCGCAUUAGCUAGUUGGUAAGGUAACGGCUUACCAAGGCAACGAUGCGUAGCCGACCUGAGAGGGUGAUCGGCCACACUGGAACUGAGACACGGUCCAGACUCCUACGGGAGGCAGCAGUAGGGAAUCUUCCGCAAUGGGCGAAAGCCUGACGGAGCAACGCCGCGUGAGUGAUGAAGGUCUUCGGAUCGGAAAACUCUGUUAUUAGGGAAGAACAAAUGUGUAAGUAACUAUGCACGUCUUGACGGUACCUAAUCAGAAAGCCACGGCUAACUACG
RNAcentral lists this ribosomal RNA (495 nucleotides) under uncultured bacterium. RNAcentral's name for it is "partial 16S ribosomal RNA". It matches the Rfam family "Bacterial small subunit ribosomal RNA", at positions 28 to 505 of the family's 1533-position model. The record is from RNAcentral.